UACGUAGGUGGCAAGCGUUAUCCGGAAUUAUUGGGCGUAAAGAGCGCGCAGGUGGUUGAUUAAGUCUGAUGUGAAAGCCCACGGCUUAACCGUGGAGGGUCAUUGGAAACUGGUCGACUUGAGUGCAGAAGAGGGAAGUGGAAUUCCAUGUGUAGCGGUGAAAUGCGUAGAGAUAUGGAGGAACACCAGUGGCGAAGGCGGCUUUCUGGUCUGUAACUGACACUGAGGCGCGAAAGCGUGGGGAGCAAACAGGAUUAGAUACU
Molecule: ribosomal RNA, 263 nt
Filed under: uncultured prokaryote
Description: partial 16S ribosomal RNA
Rfam family: Bacterial small subunit ribosomal RNA
Source: RNAcentral